Bos taurus (domestic cattle) is the source of this 1835-nucleotide long non-coding RNA. Lineage: Eukaryota; Metazoa; Chordata; Mammalia; Artiodactyla; Bovidae. The record is from Ensembl.
CAGGCAGCUUUGGAGAGGAAGGCCUCCUCCCGCCAGCCCAGAGACGGAGCAACGACACCGAGCCCAGAACCCCAGGCGGGGGCUGGACUGACCACGUCCUGUUGGCCGCUUCUGGGACAUUGAUUAGACCUCACUGGGCCUGACUCCUCUCUAUAAAGUGGGUACAGCCUCCCAAGCCCACAGCACGGCCGGGACGGCUCACGGGGCCACAGCCCGGAGCAAGGAGAAUGGCCCCUGGGGGCCCUGCUUACGCCUGGCGGAGCACACAGGGGAUGAGGGGGCGGCCGGAUGUGCAUCGGCAGUCCUGGGAGGAGCGCAUGGCGGGGGCGCUGUGGAGGGAGGACCCAUUGUCUCAUUCUUGACCAUUUACCUAUUGGACGCCUGUGGGUCCUUAAUCUCUCUAUGCGCUGUUGGCCCUGGAAGUAAAAGGCUGAGAAGGAGAAGGUUGAAACCCCAAUACUUGGGACACCUGAUUCAAAGAGCCAACUCAUUGGAAAAGACCCUGAUGCUGGGAAAGAUUGAAGGCAAGAGAAGAAAGGGAUGACAGAGGACGAGAUGGUUGGAUGGCAUUACUGACUCGAUGGACACGAGUUUGAGCAAGCUCUGGGAGUUGGUGAUGAGCAGGGAAACAUGGUGUGCUGCAGUCCAUGGGGUCACAAAGAGUCGGACACAGCUGAGCGAUUGAGCAACUUUCCAAGAGAGAAAGCAACCGGAGCCCAGAGAUGUCAAGUGACAGGCUCAAGGUCACACAGCAGUUCUCUCCCAGGACCUGGACGAGCCCUGGUCAUCCAACAAGCCCCCGCUGAGCCCAGUGGAUCUGUGGCUGGAGAGCCCUGGAUUCCAGUCAUGUAUGGAUGUGAGAGCUGGAUCAUAAAGAAGGCUGAGUGCUUGAGAACUGAUGCUUCAGAAUUGUGGUGCUGGGCAACACUCUUGAGAGUUUCUGGACAGGACUCAAGACUGCAAGGAGAUCAAACCAGUCAAUUCUAAAGGAAAUCAACCCUGAUAUUCACUGGAAGGAAAAUGCUGAAGCUGCAAUACUUUGGCCACCUGCUGUGAAGAGCCGACUCAUUGGAAAAGACCCUGGUGCUGGGAAAGAUUGUGAGCAGAAGGAGAAGUGGGUGACAGAGGAUGAGAUGGCUGGAUGGCAUCGCUGACUCAAUGAAUAUGAAGUUGAGCAAACUCCAGGAGAUGGUGAAGGACAGGGAAGCCUGGCAUGUUGCAGUUCACGAGGUUGCAGAGUCGGACACAACUUAACAGUUGAACAAGAACUAGGUCUCAAACCUACACUGUCCAGCUUCCCCAUACUCUGUUCACCAAACCAUACUCCUGGCCAUCUUCAUACUAGUGGGAUGAAGAUAUGGACCCCGGUGAGAGUGUGGUCCUGGUCCCCUGUUCUCCCAGGCCCCACGGCCCUGAGCCACUAUCCCCAAGGUCACCAGAAAGCAGCUUUAGCAAGACCUGCUGGGGGCAGAGCAACCAGGAAGCCUGCAAGGGCACUCAGGUGGGCAGGACCAUCGACAACACUCCCUGUCCUCUGCAGCUUGGCCAUCGCCCACACGUAGCCACACUCGGAGAACCAGGAAGAGACUUUCGGAUGUUCAACAAGGUUCUGGAGUGACACUGCCCACUUGUCUCUCCAUUCCUGGCAGGGUGACACCCCAACAGCAUUUUAGGGGACAAGGAGUGGGGAAGGAGAAAACUGACAUGGACAGAGAGCUCAGCUCUGGAUGAGGGAUCCUUUUAUUCAUUCAUUUAUUCUACAAAUAUUAAUAAACACGCUGGGCUAGGAGCUCUCACAUUUCCUCUUUCAUGGAUUCGUACAAGCAGCGCCAAGG